UGGAGGGUGUUGAAUAUGAU
Molecule: non-coding RNA, 20 nt
Filed under: Arabidopsis thaliana (thale cress)
Lineage: Eukaryota; Viridiplantae; Streptophyta; Magnoliopsida; Brassicales; Brassicaceae
Source: RNAcentral